CAUUUAGCCUGCUUGCAUCCCGCGGUGCUCGGCUUCUCCGGCUGCUCCUCUCCUCGCGCCGCAGCCCGGAUCUUCCUCGCCACGUACCGGCAGGCUGCAAACAGAACGACACAAACACGAACGCUGAAGCUUCAAACAUGUCAGCAGGAUGGUGGGUAUUAUGGGAUGGCAUCGUCUCCUUUCCUGUCAUAGAGAUCCUCCUGAGUCUCCUGCUGAGUGAGCAGAGUCUGUUCAUUUUCAUUACUGCCAGGGUCAUGGUGGGGGCGGAGCCUAUCACAGGUGUCAUAAGCUGGACUCUGAACAUCUGGGCUGCCUGAGAAGAAGAAUAAAACCAUCCACACAAAGAUUAGGAGCUGUAAAGCGAUCGGGGUGAGUUUUACUGCUCUCAGUGUGUAGCUGUUCAGUGUUGAAUGAUCACAGAUGAACCUGCUUCAGUCUCAGGAGAGUGAAGGAGGAGUCCUGCAUCAGUAUCUGUUCAGUUAGGUUGUUAUAUAUUUGGACACUGACACAAGUUUUG
Oreochromis aureus is the source of this 517-nucleotide long non-coding RNA. RefSeq lists it as uncharacterized. The transcript has 3 exons. Lineage: Eukaryota; Metazoa; Chordata; Actinopteri; Cichliformes; Cichlidae. The record is from RefSeq and is a predicted model, not a curated record.